CUCUACUGCGUCAUGCCAAACACUGCCACCCAUUGGUCAGCCGUAGGAAGUGCAUCCCAAAUAUCUCAAAACCAAGAUGGCCGACGGACGCACAGAUACUUGUGAUACAUGCUAGAAACCGAUUAGCUCAGGAAUAUCUUGCCAAUCCUUCUAUAGCAGGAGACCUUUGCAGGUCGGAUCAAUCGAGGGGCAGGUUUUGUCUUGGAAAUCUAUGCCUCCAAUUUGCUGCAGGAUCCAGACUAUAAAAGUGGAGCUGAUGUGGUGAUGCUGCUCAGAACUGCUGUGAUGGUCUAACCAGAGGAACUCCUGCUAAACUGCAUGGAAACGGCACAAGUUGAGCAGGAGCUGCCAGGACAGCAGACUGGAACCUACAGGUGACCCCUGGCAGUGAUCUCAAUAAUCACGGAAGACACUGCUGCUGAAGACAAGGACGUGUGGGGAUUACACAAAAGGAAGCGAGCUAGAAGAACAACGGGCAAGGGGGCAUCCUGGAUCCGAAGGGGAGGGCUCUCGGGAGCUGAGAGGGAUGCACGGCCAUCUCCCACACGUUCCUGCCUCGAACAAUGCCGAUCAGAAGGGGAAGGCCAUGGCGCAGUGAGCUAAGGCGUUCACUGCACGCUCACCAUGUCACACUUUUCAGUUUGGCUCACACCCUGCUGUAUGUUGCAUUUCACCUGGGUUUAUCUCUUUUCUGUCUGCUGCAUCGUUGCACAUCAUUAAAUGUAGAUUGAGUAGACACUGCAGAUUGACUAUAUAUUGUUGAAAUCUCUGGGGUUUGGAGGAUGGGGAUGUAGUGGCAUGAAUGCUGUUUUAAGGAUCAUGUGACAGAGUUAAGGCAGGAUGAUCUGAGCCAUCUAGAUGGAUUACAGGAAACUGUCAUCUUUUAGCAACAGAGGCCUCAUUGUAUCAGUAUUGACCAUUGACACGAGGGCUACAUUAUUUUUUGCAAUUGCCUAAAUUUAACCAUCAAAUAUUAGUCAUUAUUGCCAACCUUUAAUAUGAUUAGGGCUGUCCUCGACUAAAGAAAUUCUUAGUCGACUAACACUUUUACAAUUUUGUCGACUAAUCGAUUAGUUGAUUUAAUUGACAGAGCUGUGCGCUUUGAGAGGUGGUUAAGACUAGAAAACCACAAUAUAAAUGUGGUUAAUUAACCAUCUGUAAAACUGAGUUUCUCCACAAUUAAUCCUGGAAAAAAAACCACUUUAAAUCUUGUGUUUACCAUAAAUGUGCUCAUAAGUUUCUUGGAAAUGAGUAAUUAAGCAUGAAUAAGCAUAAAAAAUGACUAAUCAACUAAAGAAAUCUUAGUCGACUAAGACCAAAACGACCGAUUAGUCGACUAAUCGACUAAGAGGUGGCAGCCCUAAAUGUGAUGCUACUUGUUUGCUCACAUAUAAAGCACUUAUUAUGGUCUCAUGUUAACGAGGCCACAAUAAGCAUUUUGAUCCGAGUCCACACAAGUAAGACAUAUAAAUGACUUUUAUUCUGCUUUUCAAUGGAUGGCCUAAAUGCUAUUUUAAAUGACUUCCCACUUCAGUGGAAUAACAUAUCUUUCAGGUUUUUAGCAUCACAGCUAAUUAUUUAGCAAUCCAGUACCAUAACGAUUAGCACAGUUAGAUUUGAAAAAAACAGCUUCAGGUGAAAUGCUAAUUGGCAUCCUGAGCCACUAGCUGACUAAAACUAAUAGGCAGUGGCACUGCUGCUGUUAAAAAAAUAGCAGCUGGUUAGCAGCAGUAGCUUAUGAGAGAUAAUGCUAAUGCUGCUGUGAUAGCAUUAACCUCUUCAUACACCAGUGGAUACUGUUAGGUAAAGAAGCUUCUGUCAGUGUGAUAGCUCUUUGUUUCUCCAGCGGGCAUGGCUGUCUGUGUGUGUGUGUGUGUGUGUACCUUUCUUAAUGGAGAGCAGCACAGAGUAAUGUUGAGAGCGUGACCAUGACAGCUCUGUACAUUAUGUGCUUGACCUCAAUGAACCCUCAGCGAUGUUAAAACUCACUCAGUCAUGCUAACACAAAUGUAAAGGUGGCAGUAACAACACACUCACCAGGCAGCUAGUGAUGUCCACUGAGAAUAAUCUGCAGCGCCUUUUGUCGCUAGACGACAACGAUGACAUCGCCACCAUCCAUGAUUCACAUGUGAAGUGCUUCUGAAUAUGCAACUGAUUUUAGUGUCGACCUGCAACAUGAUUGGCAAGCACACUUUGUCCUAGACAGUAACAAGGAUCCCACUUGCUGACUUUGAAUAACAGUUCAGUUGGUCAUAGUAGCAAAGUAGCACAUGGCAACUCUUAAGGGCACAUGUCCAUUUUUGUGUGAGCCACGAGGUUCUUUUCUUUCUCCGAGUGGUAAUUGAAGGGUUCGUUUUCCAUGUUGUCGCCCUCAUUUGCACCUUGCAGUUUGCUCUCAGGGGUCCAUCACUCUCCUGAGAUCCAUUUGCAGCAUAUUGUUUAGGAGCAGCUCUUUGACAGGGUGAUUCAUCGAUAUUUGACUUAGGCCCAUCACACCAUAACUAAUAUUUUGUUUUAAUGGGGCGUAGCGGGAAUUUUGAUGAUAACUCAACUUCAUGGACACUUCCCUUCAUUGAAAUGAAUUCUAAACUCCAUGCACUUGUGGAUAUAAGAUUUUAGGCAGUGGAAAUUGUGCUGGGUGCUGGACAUUAGUUGUGCUAAUGGCUAUUGUAAGGCCCUACAAAGCUGCUUAUGAAAAACUUAUUUUUAUUUGGUUUUUGUUUUACAUGAUGUAAUAUUAGAUAUUACGUUAUUACAUACCUAGAUUCCUAUAUGAAUUUUCUUUUUUAUUCAGACACGCUUGAAUUCAAAGAUUGCAUUGCUGCGCCUGUGUGCAACAAAGAGCUGUCAUUUCAAGUCAUUGUGAAGCUGAAGCUUUAUUUAUUUUGAUCUUUUUGACAUAAUAGACAUAUUUGGUUUUACUCUUGGCCUUGAAAGCUAUAUUUAAUAAUUUUCCCUCCCUCAGUGCCAUUUAUUCCACUGACAAAAUACUGGAUAUGAUUUGCUGAUGUGUUGCAAAAGAUGCUUCAUUCUGUCUCAAUGUAUUAACCGGGAUUGUGUUGAGUCCCACAGAUGCUUCCGUCCUGUUGUUAAUGAACUAAUAUGGAUUUUAACUUGAACCCCCCCACCCCCCCCCUGCACUGCUAAUCUGCUGCUUUAGCAAUUAUCUUAUGUAACCCCUCUGUCAGCCCCCUCUCUCUCUUUUUCUACCAUCUCUCUGCCUCAAAAUCGUUUUUUAUUUGUUCAGUUCGGUGAACAAACACUAACCUGGAGCGAGUUAGUGUCUAGCCGGUAAGCUCGAAAAGGGGCUGCAGGCUUGCUCUCCAUUGUUUGGCUGCAUCGCAGACUGUCUGUACACUGUGUCCCCAUGGCCGAGGCAGAAAUGGAGGACAGACAGACAGACAGCUGUUUCAUCGCCUCAAUGUUGAUAGAAUCUUUUGCAAAAAAGACUAUUUGCCGAUAAGUGUCGUCAACUCCUGACACAAUGGAGAUGAUGCGGUUUGCAUGUGCUGAAUUCCGAACAUUUGAGACAGAUUCAAUGAAAAUGUUCUUCUGUGAUUGAGUGGUGACUCUUUGGGAACCUUUAACCCAGCAGCUUCAGGUGUGUAAGUCAGUCAGUAAAACCUGCAUUGACACCUGCUUUACUGAGAUCCUGUACCAAUAAAUCUCAGAUAUUUACUAGUCUAGAUUUCAGUUUCAGUUUAGUAUCCCAAAAUGGUAUCCAUUGAUUCCAAAUGCCAUCAGGCAGCUCUUGAUUGAUUGAAGUCCAUUUUAAGGUUGGACUUUUGUUAAGGUGGACUGUGAAAGAUGCAGUCAAAAGGGAGUGUGUAAUAGUUCAAGUGUAUGUUAGGAGGGUAUGUUGGAUGGGUUGCUGCAGGGUUACGCCCAAAGUGCCUCAGGGGAAAUGUUUGCACGUGUUUGCACGUUUAGAUAAAAGUAAAGGUUAAAAUAUUGAUCAGAGAGAUUGAUAAGAGAGAGAAAAAAGCAUUGAAUGAGGCGACAAAAGGCUACAAUAAGCCUACACAUCUCUUUGUGGAAGCAGGGGUGGUUUCUCUCCGUGUCACCAUUCUGCAGUUUUUUCUGCCACUCCCUUCAACACACUGCCUCGGCUCAGCUAAAGGCGUGUGAAGCACACUCAUCAAUAAUCAGAGCUGGUCAGCGCUUGUGUGUGUGUGUGUGUGUGUGUGUGUGUGUGUGUGUGUGCGCUUCUUUAAGUAUCUGUCAGCAUGUCUGUAAUGUCUGUUUGUGUGUGUUUAGCAGUUCUUCCCACUGCAGAGGGGUUCACUACCCCUUCCUUCCAGUCUGUUGGCGUAACAAGAUGGCGUCGCAGCUCCACGUGGGCCCUCCUGCGCUGGUUAAUGCCCGUUACCUAUGCCACCGGAAAGCCAUAGGUACCCUUGAGGCGUAUUUACUCGCCACAUAGCUGAAAUUGCUGAGGCACUUCUCGGUACUGUAGCUUGGCCGACUUUAGGACAUUUACGAUUUGGGGCGGAUCCAGUGUUUUCAUUGUUUUUCCUGUUGUUGUUGGUUUUUUUUUAUCACUGUCUGUGUAUCAGCUGCCAAACUUUUGUCUGCAAUUUGGGCAGUUUUAAAUGUGCUGGAGGGGUGAACGAGUAUGUUUUCACCACGAUAUAGCAUGAUUGGAGGAGCCUAAGACCCAAGAUUUUCAGUGAUAAUGACUGCUUCUGUAAUUGUUGUGCAUCUGACAAUAAAUAAACUGAAACAUUGUGUGUGUGUGUGUGUGUGUGUGUGUGUGUGUGUGUGUGUGUGUGUGUGUCUCUCUGACUCCGGCUAAGGCCAGUUUAAAGGAGCUUGGGAAUAGUGCGCACAGCCACAUCACACCAGCAGAUUAACCAGACUACACAUUAUUAAUCUGAGAGAGACUAAUGUCACCAACAAUGUGUCAGCAGUCACACAUACACAAAAACACACUUAAAAACACGUAGUUAAAUCUGUGCACUUUUUCUCUUCCUUAUAGUAACCCAGGUAGUGGUGUGACUGGAGGCCGAGGCCGAGCCUGUCUCCUCCUCAGUGUCAGCGUUGCCCUGCUCCAGGUCAUGUUGGGUUUAAAGACAGGCUGGAAAUCCCCUGAUGAAUCCACAUUUAACCCUUUGCUGCCACGUCAACCAAGAAGCUAAAGAAAUACUUGUUUGGGGUGUUUGAAGGAGAAGAGCUUAAGCACGUUAGCUGCGGUUAACAUUUUGGAUCAUUUUCUGCCUCAACAGCCUUAAUACCAGGAAGCUGUGCAGAUGUGAUCAGCUAUUGCGUGCACAGAGAGAUUUGAUUCGGGGGUUUCAAGUUGGUUUCUUAUUCUUUUUUCAACUGAGUUGGCAAGAUUUUGAGGAACUGUGUCUGUAAUCUAUUUGAUGGUGAUGGGCAUGUCACGUAGCAGCUGGAUCACAACAAGAUAUACCACCAACAAAUCUACACAAUUUGAGACUUUGAUUAUAUCUGGGUUGUUUAAAAAGAUGUUAAAACAUCUACGUACCUGUAGCACCAUAACAAUCUUUGAGACAAUAUGGAAAUUUCUUUUUUAUGAAUUUUACUUCUUUUUUUUUCACAAUUUCACAAUUGGUCAAUUGACAAAUCUCUAAAAUAAACUUUUAAACCCCACACAGGGAAAUUGAAGUGCCACAGCAGCAAAAGGAAGUACAAGAUGAGAUGCACAGUAUUUAAAAAAAAAAAAAAAACUACAAUACUACAUACAUUAUGUUUUUAUUCUAGAAUUGAAUUCUAUUUUGUAUGGCUUUUUUUUUUUUUUUUUUUUUUUUUUUUCAUGGGAAUCCUGACUAGAUGUUAUGUUCAACAAUAACAUAACAUAUGAUAACACCACUUUCUUCCUUGUAAUAAAUAUAGCAGUGAUGUGAGAGAAGUACAGUAAGCCCAGUGUUCUCUUCAGAAGCCUGGUAUUGAAAUAGAGACGUCUUACAGACCUAAGGAAAUACAUGUCAUUUCACUUGAUUGUCAAGUCUUGUGAUGCUUAUCAGUAGAACCUCUAAAUGAGUUGUGGGAGUUUUCUAGGCAGACAUGUCAUCUGUCAUGAUUUAUAUUUUUAUCUUUAGAGUUAAUUUUUUUUUACCUUUUUAAAGUCUUGAAUCUGUUACGACAAGAUUAAUUCUUCGGUGUGAUUUUUGUUUCUGCAGAGCUGACAAGACGUAUUACAACAUCCUCUCUGCUGACCACGAAGACAUCGGACAGUAAAUGGACCGAGAAAAAAAGACAUUAAUAAAGACAGUUGACAAGCAAGUUCUCAGUAGACAGGAUGCUUGCAGUAAUUAGUCCAUAUGAUCUGCAAUUGGAUGGUCCAUGGUCCAUGCCUAUUAGACCAGGUCAGGACACGUCGGGGAAUGGUACAUGAACAUGAGACGGAUAUGACAGCCAUACUGGAGCAAGCCUCAACUGUUCAUAUACACACUUACUGAGAUACUUAAAUGUUUUCCAUAGUCAUUUACAUGUAUUUUCCUUUGUAAAACAAAAUAUAUUUAAUGCUAAUAAAAUAUUUAUUAAAAAUACCCUCCUUUUGUGUUAUUCCAAGAAAUGCACCAUUCUAAAAUUGUAUCAUCCUUAGCAUAUUAAGUGUGCUAGUAUUUGAUAUUCUAUGCAUAGCUAUGUGUUCGUAUUUGCCAUGUCUUAACAGCUCCAUGCUAACCUUUUUGGCACAUAGUAUGUUAAGCGAUAGCUGGCAUCAUAUUAGCACUAAACACUUUAUGUGAUAGUAUAUUACAAACUAACAUUUUAGUGUACACUAUUCUGGGAAAUAAUGCUUCAUGCUAGCCUUGGUCUAUUACAGUAGCAUACACAGUGUUGAGUGGUAGAAGGCUUCUUAACCCUUUCUAACAUACAUUAUACUAUAUGAUAGCAAACUCAAAGCUAAUAUUCACAUUUACACUAUUGAGUGAUAAUGCUCUGUGCUAACACUCUAGUUAGUAAGCAUUAAAGUAAGACUAAUCAUGCUAACAUUAUAGCAUUCAUUAAGUGAGUGAGCUUCUAUGCUAUGCUAUAAUUCCACCCUUGUAUGCUCUAUGAUGCUGCAGAUUAUCAAUCCAUGGCAUUUAUUCCAGUCCAUUCAAGUUGUUCAGUGAUGACGUGUCAACUUUUUGUGGUGUCCACUGAACUUCAACCUGCAACCUCUACCUCAGUGAUUCACCACAUUUCCAAGAAUGACUUUCAACACCCCAAGAGUUCGUGCCUGGACUUGUUAUUGCCAGCUUUUGGUUUUACAUUGGAUAAAGUGAUAACGACAGGGAAACAGGCACAUACUGUCAGGCUGAUACAGAAAGAGAGUUAGUAACAGAAACAGAAACAGAGUGAAAUUUUCUGACUAAAAAAACAACACAGCCAUGUCUCUUCUUCAGAGCACAGCAUGUCCUUUAGCUGUAUUGCAUUAUAGGUAAUUAGGGCUACUGUAAAAUAGAUAGCUCUUGCUUUUUCAUCUUAUUAUGAAAUUAAUUAUUGUAGAAAGAAGCCCUACAAUGCAAAAAAAAAUGUAUGUAAUCCAUUGUAUGUUAUUGAUUAACUGAAAGAUUUUCUCAUAUUAUUCCAUCAGAAGUGUUCUCUACACAACAUCAUAUAAUCUACAUUUGGCUUUAUAGACAUUUAGGUGAGAUUAUAAUACCAUACCCCAUAUUUGCAAACCUUUUCUGUGUUAUGCUUAUUGGAUUUAGACCAUGUUUACAGUCCUUGGUAAGUGACAGACAGCAGCAUGAGAUCCAGAUGUGCCUUUUAAUUUGUUGAAGAUAAUAAAAAAAUGAAAUUGUAUCUUGUUCAUAAUUGGUAGUUUUGUCCUUUUAGACGGAUACAAAUUUUUAAUUUGUUGACUUUCUACAAAUUAUAUUCG
Long non-coding RNA from Perca flavescens (yellow perch), 7837 nucleotides. RefSeq lists it as uncharacterized. The transcript is spliced from 7 exons. NCBI's taxonomy places the organism in Eukaryota, Metazoa, Chordata, Actinopteri, Perciformes, Percidae. The record is from RefSeq and is a predicted model, not a curated record.